Molecule: microRNA precursor, 60 nt
Filed under: Strongyloides ratti
Lineage: Eukaryota; Metazoa; Nematoda; Chromadorea; Rhabditida; Strongyloididae
Description: microRNA str-mir-8386 precursor
Source: miRBase by way of RNAcentral
CGGGUUUGUUACUUGUUGAAUUUAAUAAAAAUAAAAAUUCACCGGGUAGACAAACGCGCG